UACGUAGGGGGCUAGCGUUGUCCGGAAUCAUUGGGCGUAAAGAGCGUGUAGGCGGUCCGGUAAGUCGGUUGUGAAAGUCGGGGGCUCAACCCUCGAAUGCCGGUGGAUACUGUCGGGCUAGAGUGCGGAAGAGGCGAGUGGAAUUCCUGGUGUAGCGGUGAAAUGCGCAGAUAUCAGGAGGAACACCUAUUGCGAAGGCAGCUCGCUGGGACGUAACUGACGCUGAGACGCGAAAGCGUGGGGAGCAAACAGG
Molecule: ribosomal RNA, 253 nt
Filed under: uncultured bacterium
Lineage: Bacteria
Description: partial 16S ribosomal RNA
Rfam family: Bacterial small subunit ribosomal RNA
Source: RNAcentral